Monodelphis domestica (gray short-tailed opossum) is the source of this 7890-nucleotide long non-coding RNA. RefSeq lists it as uncharacterized. NCBI's taxonomy places the organism in Eukaryota, Metazoa, Chordata, Mammalia, Didelphimorphia, Didelphidae. The record is from RefSeq and is a predicted model, not a curated record.
CUGUUUCAAAUAUAAAGUAAAGAAUAGUUAGGUUAAAUGAUUCAUUGGUAGACUAGACUCCCAAAGAAUCACAGGGGGGUUAUGUUAUAAGGAAUUUCACAAUUUCACUCUGUCUCAUGAGGAGCAGAAGUUUUAGGUCAAAGGAAGUUUUUAAUUUGUACGCUGUCUUCUUCAGACACAGCAACAGAUGGCUCUCACCCUCUGUCUCUUUAAGAGGCAAUAGCAGAUAGAUUUGAAUUCCAUCUCUUUAAGAGAAAACUAUAAAACAGAAAAAAAAGUCAUUUAAGUAAGGAAUUUUGGUGUCAUUCUCGGUCAUGAAGAUCUGACAGUUACUUUUGAGAGUUUGUCAUAUAGAUAUCAAAAGAGAAAGAGUCUAGUUACUGAGGGGUUUUUCCUUCUCAGUACUCUGAGAGAGAAGGGUCUAACUCUGAGGUCUUUUCUCCACAGCACUUUAAGAGCAACUGGAGAACUGUCUGUGUCUGUGUGAUCAGCAGUUUCAAAUGACAGUUAAUAGAAGAAUUUCUUUAAAGAGUUAGUUAUUGAUAAAUAUUCAUCUAUUAGUUAAGUUAGAUAAUGAAUUAAUUCAUAGUUAGAGUAGUUUUAGUCAGGCUUGCUUUGCUGGGUAAGGAGGUCCUGCCAAGAAAGGCAGUUAGAAGUAGGGUUCUUUAGAGAUUUUUAGUAUAGGAUUUGGGUUUUAAGAUUGAGUAUAAGAUUUAGAGAUAGACUAUCCUUUUUCCUACCUCCUAUUUCUUAUCCCUACCUCUCUUCAAUAUAAAUAAGGACACUGGUUUACCAAACUGCUCUCAACAACUUUCAUCGACCUCCACCAAUAAUAUUUACCACAUAACAGCUUGGCUAUAAAUAUUUAUUAGCUAUAACAGUACCUAGCAUACACAGUAGACAAUAAAUGUUUAUUGAACUAAAUUUGUAACCUGAAAUUACAGCAAAAAUGAAAAAUUGAAAAAAAAUUAUUCCUAUAUCAACACAUCAAGGGUUAAUUUAAAUUAGACUGGAUAUUUGAGUUUCCUACUACAAAAUUGACUAUGAGCUCAUAAUUCCCCCCCUAACUUGUCCACUACUGUGUCAUUUGAAUGAAGUAAUAGCCUGGAAGGAUCUUUGUCAAAAUCUUAACAAAUAAAAUGUAGCAUUUCCAUUUCCUCAAUUCUAGGGUGGUUCAAUAGAAGGAGUUUAACUAUUUCUCCCUCAGAAUUUUAGGGUAACCCAAAAGAUUUGGGUUUCUAGUACUGCGGUUCGUAUGCUCCUAUUAUAGGUUCAUUGACUAUCAAUCAGAGCUAAUUCUCUUUUUUGAAGGAUAUUUGUUAAGCAGGCACAGCAAUGACAAUUAUUGCAGAAAUAUCUUCUUUAAUUGAGGGCUCACUCUUGCCUUGUACAAACCAGGCUUCUGGAAAAAGUAAGCCCAAACUUGGGGGGCAUAUAUGACCAAGGAGUAAAUCCUCAAAGGUACUGGAAUUCUUUUUUCUCUUUUUGUGGCAUCCUUAGAAGAUUCCCCUUUGUUCUCUGUUGAGCUCCAAGGGUUUGUGCCUUUGCAGUGGCCUGAAGCUUUUCCCCUGGUAUUUCUUCAGAGUGUCUCUCAGCUCCUGCUAUAGAUGCCGCUAUUAGGGAUUACAGCUGUGGGGGCACUCUGAGUGAUUUCAACUCAGAUGGGAAUCUUUUGAUAUUUACAAUUUGAUCACCUGGUCAGUUUUGGAAGGGAAGGAGCUCAAGAGGAGAAACACAAUCCAUCUUCCCUGAAGGAAGUCCCCAUUAAGGAAUUCUUCCCUACUGACCUGUUGCUAUAAUGUUCAAUUCUGAACUUGCCUACUGGCAUGUCAGAUUCUUUCAGCUAGUCAUAUGAUAUUUUCCAGUAUGAUAUCAUUUGUCUUUAUAUAGUCAAAGCCCUUCAUUCCAAAUGGAUAAGGACUUUUAUACACCUACAAUACACCUUUGAUUGGCUGAUUUAAUUUAGCUGUUUGAGUCUUCUGUUAUUUCACUAUGCAGAAUGGUGAUUAUAAAAGGAACAAGGACUAAACCUAUAUCAAAUUGGUGGUUCCAUGGACAAAGGCUAUAUGCUAUUUUCUUUUUUUCUAAUGAGAGGGAAAAUUGUACAGAAAGGCAAUAGGGCCUGGAUUCAGAGGACCUACGUUCAAAUCCUGUCUCCAAUGUCUAUUAUUUGUUGGAUGAGUGUAAGUCAUUUUAUCUUACCCAGGUCUUUAUUUCCUCACCUUAAAGAUGAGAGGGUUGGAUGAGAUAUCCUCUGAGAUCCUUUCUUCUGUGAAUCUACAGGGUCACAGCCAGAGAAAAUGAAAUGCCUCUGCAAUUAUGAGUGGAAGAGGAGGCACUGACACCACUUUCUAAGCUUCUGGUUCUCUCUUGUUCUGCCUCAGACUCAGCAACACUGAACAUGGAACCAGUGGCUGGAGAUUGGCUAAGAAUUUUUAAUACUUUAUUCUUGAAGAAAUACAAAUUAUUUCAAGGGGAAAAAUCUUAGUAAGUCCAGUGGCCCCAGUGUAACUGAGUGCUUCAUGGGUUGUUAGCUAAAUUAACAUUUUGUAUGCUUUCCUGGAAGAGAGGAGUGGGCUUUGAGACUUAGGAAACGCAUCAGAUUGCAGAUCUUUAUGCCUUAAGGUCCAAGUGGGCUUUAGGUGUGUGACACAGAACUUCAGCACCACAUCACAGUAGCCUUUUGAAUGUGUUAAACUUGGAAAUAUCUUAUACUUGAUAUAUCUAAAACAAUUCAUUAUCUUUUCCACAAACCCCUUCUUCAGAACUUUCAUAGUGCUAUCAAGGGUACCGUCAACCUCCCAGUCACUCAGGCUCACAACCUUGAUUCUUCCCUCUCACUUAUUCUAUAAUGUAUAACCCAUUGUCAGAUCUCAUUGUUUUUACCUUCAUGUCAUUUCUCGAAUAUGUUCAUCUCGGAUAGAACCCUUUUCUCCAUUCACCAAACUAUUUGAGACUCUCAUCACAUCUCUCUACUCCAACCAGCUACUAGUGAUUUUCCUGAAAUACAAAUUUAACCAUGUCAUCCCCAUUUAACCUAAUCCACUGGCUCCCUAUUACCUUUAAGAUCAAAAUAAAAAUUUCUCUGUUUGACAAUUGACACUCUUUUUUACCCUGGCCUUUUCUUGGGGACACAGUGGCUUUAGCAAGGGGCCAGGAAUCAGGAUAGACAUGAGUUAAAAUAUGACCUCAGAUAUUCAGUGGUUACAUGAUCUUGUACAAGUCAUUUAAUCUCUGGUUGUCUCAAUCUCCUCAUCUGUAAAAUGGAAAUAAAAAUAGUACCUGCCUCCUCAGGUUUUGAUAAAGAUCAAAUGAGUUAAUAAUUGUAAUGUGUGUAGCACAGUAAAUGCAACAUAUGUUAGUUAUUAUUACUAUUAUUAUCAUCUUACAAUUUACUUUGCAACACUGGGUCUUCCCUCUGUUCUUCACAUAUAACACUCAGUUUCCUAUCUUUGUGAUUUUGUAUUGGCUUCAUGCCAGGAAUAUUCGCCCUCCUUGUCUCUGCCUCUUUCAGCACUCAGUCCAAAGCAAAUCUUUUGAGAGAACCCUUUCUUGGUUUCCCCAGCUCCCAAUAUCUUCCCUUCUGAGAUUAUUUUUCAUCUACUUUGUGUAUAUCAUUCCAGACUUAGUUAUUUAAAUAGUUUUUCCCAUUAGAAUGUGAGCUCCUUGAGACAAGGACUGUUUGGGGCUUAAAAAAAAUCUCAGUGCUUUUUAACAUAGUGUCUGGCACUUAAUAAACACUUAAUAAAUGCUUGCUGAGGCUAGGUUGCACAGUGGAUGGUGUAAUAGGAAGAAGAAAUUUGCAAAAGGACUUUGCAAUGCAAACUUUCAAGUGAUUGACAGGAGCAUGUGACAGAGAGUCACAUGGGAGCCUAAGGGGUCAAGAUCUGGGUAAAGAUUCUAAAGUCCCAACAGAAAAACUCACUUCUCUCGGAAAGGACCUUGGAUUGGAGGUUUUACAUCAGGUUUCUGGCCUUUUGGUGAUACUAGCCGAAGAGAGAGGAAUCUUUUGAACUGGCUGCUGGCAGCUGGAACAGAGAACUAAAGACUCACUUCUCCACUGGACUUGCUUUGGACAGUUUCAUCUGAAGAUCCCGGCCCAUUGAUUGGACUCCAUUUAAACAUUAGAUGACCCUAAAAGAAAAUAUCUAAAGGAAGCAGAUUAUAAAUUUACCAUCCUACAAAGAAAAAAAAAGUGAAACAUGCAGAUUGUUAACCGGGUCCAGAAUGAGGAGCAAAUAAAUAACAUUUGGAGGAGCUACUGGGUAUCCAUACAUGUCAUUAAAUGUGAGAUGUGAAAUAAUGAAGAGAAUAUGGUACCUUUCAGGUAAUAGAAACUUAGGAAGAAAACUGUGUCAGUCUUAGGAGCUAUAUUGAUGGUUAUACUAUAAUAAUAAUGUCAACAGUGCUGUAACUUUAGUUUUGGCACUCGGAUCAAGCAGAUCAAAAUAUGUCCCAAGCAAGCAGUACUAAAAUGUCCUGAAAUGAACUUUGUAAUUCAUAAUGUGAAAAGAAUAUGAAAAGUAAUUAAAUUUGGUUGAAUAGGAGAGGAAAUUCCUUUCUUAUUUCCUCCCUCCCUCCCUUUCUCCCUCCAUUCCUUCCUUCCUUCCUUCCUUCCUUCCUUCCUUCCUUCCUUCCUUCCUUCCUUCCUUCCUUCCUUCCUUCCUCCCACAAGCACUUAUGAAACUACCUUGAAUGUAGCAUUGUAGUAAGCAAAGACUUUGUGACUGAAGGAAUGAGUUUAUUAAAUUGUUGUGCUUUUACAAUUUUUGUGCAUUUGGAUAAAACCCUGUUGGCCUGCCCCAGGCUCUUAAUGUAAACACUCAUAUGUUUUAAAAACUAUCACCUCAUUUGAACCUUGGAACAAACCUGUAAGGUGGGUUGUGAAAGAAUUAUUAUCCCCAUUUUAUAAAGGAGGAAACUGAGGUGCAGAGAGAUCCAAUGACUAGAAGUCUUCUAGCUAAAAAGAAUAGAAAUGGAUGGGAGGAAAAAGAGGAAAGGGUACUACUGACUUCAAGAUGAGAUCCUGUAUCUUCAUCAAUUAUUGACAGCAAGUUGGAAUCAAGCUAUGAGGGUUUUCUGUCUUUUCAAAAUAUGCAACAUAGUAAAAGUGGCCUGAAUUUCCACAUGGGAAAAGCAAAUCAAAUGAUUUUUAGACCUAAAAAUCCUGAUGAUUUCCUUUAAAGGAAAACAAGAAUUCUUCCACAAGUUGUGGUGGUAAAAAAAGACUCAUUAUUAGGAUAUAAACUUCAAACCUUAUUAAGAUUACGAGGCCAUAGAAGUACAGUUUAUCCUCUUUCCCCUAAAGACAUGUUUAUUGGCAUCUUAAGUGAAAAAGAGAGAAAAAAAGAAAACAACAAAGGGGGAAGGGGCUUUGGAAAGCCCCAAAUGUAUCCAAAUUAGAAGUUAAAAAUCCACAAUGUGCAUAUGCCGCAUCAAAAGAGAUAUUGUAAUUUAAGGACUGUGGGGGUAAAAAUAAAACCCAAAUCUGCCACAGUUGCAUAGAAAUGUGUUUAAUCCUCUGUCAGAGUUAUUUGGUAGGAAACAUUACCCCACCCCCACAUCCUUUUACACAGGGCUGGGUGGAAAGUCAGCUGGGCCACUGUGUUCCUACAGGGUCUGUGGUAGGGUUGGCCACUUUUCCAACUCCCAUCCCACCCGCACCCUGGGUCUACCACAUUUUAAAUAAACUCAUCUGCCUUCUAAAGGACGCUGUACAGACAGGCAGCUUAUUUGUUUGCACUUGUGUUUCUGAAAAGAAAAACUGCUGCUAGUCAAAAAGUUUUGGUAUGAAACUUCUCUGCAAGUCAAGAAUUGCGUUGGGAAAGCCAAUUUCACAGCACUUCAAAUGUGCCCUGGAAAGGCAUUCUGCUUUCUCCCACUUGGGCACAUGGCAGUUCUUCAAAACAAGGACAUUGGGGUGCUUAGAGUAUUCUCUUCUAGGUCUUUUGUACUCUUGUGAGGCAUUUCUAAUUUUUACCUUACUUUGGAGGGAAGCAACUUUUAGAAGUUAGGCAGGUGCCUUCAAAAAUGGCAUUUUCAAGGUGACAUGAAUGUUUUGUUUGUUUUGAGUUUCAACGCCCCUUCUUCAGAAUUGAAUGCUAAUGUCUGGGAUACAUAAAAGCACAUUUGAGGUACUACAUACCACAUAGGACUGUUGUUAUGCAUGAUAUGGUAGCCUCUACUCAUUUAGACUACCUCUACUCUCUGGGACCAUUUGAACCAGGUCUUCUACAUGGUAUCUUUUAUAAUAUUUGAAAAUAUCUGCCAUGCACCCUUAAACAUGUCAUCUCCAGACUAAAGUCCUCAGUUCUUUCAAGAAAUACUUCUCUGAGAUAAUUUUUAGUUCCCUCAAAAUUUGGACACACUAAUUUGUCAGUGUCUCUUCUGGUUGUCCUCUUCUGACCACUUUCCAGUUUGCCAAGGCUCCCUCUAAAAUGUUGUUCCUAGAAUGAACAAAAUAAUCCAGAUAUAAUCUAAGAAGGGCAAAGGAAAGUGGAAAUGCCUCCUACUUCAUAGUAAACAUUUUAACUGUGUUAAUACUGUCUAAGAAUUGGUUAGCUUUUGUUGUUAUUGUUGGUUGCCAUAACACACACACACACACACACACACACACACAUAGCACACAUAACAUUCAAAUUGAGUUUGAAGUUCACUCUAUCCCUAAGGUUGUAUUUGUGUUGGUAAAUGUCUAAUAAGAGACUCUGAAAAAAUAAAAGUACACCAAUACACUUUUAGAUUUAAUGUGCAUUACUAAUCUUUUUCUCAUCACUUUCUUAAAUCUAGACAAUCAACAGAACAAUAAAUCAGGUCUAAUUUGUCAUGUGUGCCAAUUUCUGAAUGUAAGAGCUCACAUUGAUAAUUGAAUAGUUGGCUUUUCUGAACCCAUUUGAGCUGGCUCCAGGACACCACUGCCCUGUGGUCUUUUUCAUCUGAAAGAGUCAAUCUAAUUCAUCUUGUACUUUUGCUACUCUCUUUUAACUUCAAAUUUGAGACUUUAUAUUAAUUCUGAUUGAAUUAUCUCUAUUUUCCCAUAUUUAUAAUGUUAUUAUCCUCGUGGGAGUUUUCUAAUCCAAGAGGAAACAAUUUUCUAAAGAAGGAGGUCUUCAUCACUUGUGCAAUAGACUUGAUGUCUACUUAACUGAAUCCUGAGAAGUCUUUGAAUUGAGAACUUUGACUUGCUUCCAUGCCACCUGCCUGGAUUUUUCUUUAAAUUCAUGGAAUUUUUCUUACCUUUCCUUUUUUAUUGCAAGCUUAAGAUUAAGAGACAUGCUUGAAAAAUCCCAGAAGUUCUGUCUUAACCAUCCAAUAUUCCUAAUAUAAAGUAAAAUGGCAACUUAUAACUGAGAGUUCUUUUGUGCUAUCGUUUUUAUAUGAAGAUAUGAAUGAAAUGAGAUUUUAUCAAACAGGAAGUUGCUGGAAUUCCCUCCACCAAGAGAGACUCAGUCAUUCAUGACUAAAUCCUAGGGUCUCAUUUAAUGUUCAGAAAAGUUCAGUGUCUUGGAAAUGAUCAUGCAGUUAUCAAGUUUUAAAAGUGGCAUUUGAAUUCAGAUUUUAACUAUAAGUAUAGGACUUGAUUCAAUUAUACUUUAUUAACUUUAAUAUUAAAUAUUCAUAGAAAAUCUACUUUUACUUGUGGAUCACAUUUUAAGCAGUGUUGGUUCAUUUCCAGAAUGUGCAUAAAAGGUGAAGUAUUUGCAUGGGAAAUAGUAGUGGCAAUAGGAUUGGUGAUUAAAAGUCUUUCCUUAUUUUGAAGAACAAGCUGUCUCUGACAGAUAGGACCCAGAGUUAGAGCUUAGAUGUUUAGCAAGAAGAAAAUUAAAGUCAAAAAGUCUUUGUUAGUCAUUAACUAUUCUGUAGUAUUUUUCAUUAAAUACAUUUUUUGUUCAA